GGCAUUAAGAGUGCAAAUGGAAGUUCAUAGUAAAUUAUAUCUGCAAGUUGAGGUAAAAUUUUCCUCAUAUGUAGUAAUCAUCACUCGUCUGCCCCAAUUUUGGACUGUUUCCAUGAAUGACAUGCUUGCUGACGGUUACUUGGCUGUGGGUUUGUUUAGGCUAAAGAAAUUGAUUUGAUAAUUCUGGGCCUCUUGAUAACUGCUUUUGAUGGCAGUGCAAACUUGCACAAGAUAGCAAUUACCUGAUAAUUAUCAAAACUUCGCUCGCUUGUUUAAAUAGGAACUAUCAAGACUUUGGAUCUGGCCUUGCAAUGUGCAGUACUUUUCUUUUGGUAAGGUUCCCUGUGCCCCAACUAGCUGAUCUUCAUACUUUUUUUGUGUAGGUGGAGAAGCAUUUGCAAAUUCGCCAGG
Molecule: unclassified non-coding RNA, 411 nt
Filed under: Hevea brasiliensis (rubber tree)
Lineage: Eukaryota; Viridiplantae; Streptophyta; Magnoliopsida; Malpighiales; Euphorbiaceae
Source: RNAcentral